CCUCUAUAGUGACCUCAGGUUAUUGUAAAUCUGUUGCUUGUUUGCGUUUUCUAUAUUUUUGAAGUUUAAGUGGUACAUUAAUCAUUUUGAGAGUUUUUACAGGAAAGAAGGUUAACAACUUUAAAAAUCUUUUCAUCCUAUAGCCCACUGUGUUGCACUGAAGCUGUCAAAAUCUGCACAUGGAUUAUCUGAACACGGGCUUUCAGAUGAGUCUGGCUUUUUCAUAUUUUCAAACUGAAAAGCCUAGCCUGGGAUAAAAGACAAAAACAAGGCAAAGGAAAGCCGAAGACUCUAUAUUGUACAAGAAGGCCCUUCUUCCAAGCCAGAUGGCCAAGGCACUGGCAACACAAGCUGGCGCAGCAGAGGACAUGUGGGAAAACAGGCAGCUCGGUCCUGGAGGAAAGCGAAACAAGAGCUCUACAGUGCUUGCAUUUAUCGAGAGAAGACACACAGCCCAGCCUUGCAUAAAUAAUGGCACUGGGCCAAGUACAGCGGAGGUGGCUGCCAGCACAACUCCAUUGAAGUCAAAGGAAUCGCACCAUGGUGGUCUACAGAUUAAGCAUAUCCUCUUAUGGAGAGCCCAGGGUAUACGUGUCACGUACCACAUAGGAGUUCAAAUGCGAAGUGGUAAAUUCAGCUUGCUACAUGUCAGAAAUGGCUCUACUCCAUCAUGACAGUCUGGUUGGUACUGCCCAAGAAGCGGUAAAACUGUGAUUGGAGCUGAACCAAGCAGUGGGAGAACUUCUUGACCUAGCUUUGCUGCCAGGUAACUGCUUGUAUAACCAUACCAUUAACAUACUGUUUAUGCCUCUGUUGUACAAGACUUAUUAGAUAGCUGACAGGUAAUAAAAUGAGGCUCUUAAAAGGUUAGGAGUUGGGC
This 880-nucleotide long non-coding RNA is filed under the name Struthio camelus australis. RNAcentral's name for it is "lncRNA (ENSSCUG00000010256.1)". Lineage: Eukaryota; Metazoa; Chordata; Aves; Struthioniformes; Struthionidae. The record is from RNAcentral.